GUACUGAUGAAGAGUCCCAAACUAGGCAGACGAAACAGCUGUCCAGUAC
This is a non-coding RNA of Trichobilharzia regenti, 49 nucleotides long. NCBI's taxonomy places the organism in Eukaryota, Metazoa, Platyhelminthes, Trematoda, Strigeidida, Schistosomatidae. The record is from Rfam.